GACGAACGCUGGCGGCGUGCUUAACACAUGCAAGUCGAACGGGGAAGCGCCUUCCUUUUUGGUGGGUGUGGAUGAGUGGCGAACGGGUGAGUAACACGUGAGUAACCUGCCCCCUAUUUCUGGAUAACCGCAUGAAAGAGUGGCUAAUACGUGAUAUUCUGGGUCUUUCGCAUGAAGGGUCUGGGAAGGAUAUUGAUUCGGUGGGGGAUGGGCUCGCGGUCUAUCAGCUAGUUGGUGGGGUGAUGGCUUACAAAGGCGGUGACGGGUAGCCGGCCUGAGAGGGUGGACCGUCACAGAGGGGCUGCGCGACCGCGAGGACUCCGAGGGGCGGCAGCAGUGAGGAAUGGAGGACGAUGGGCGGAAGCCUGGUGCAGCGACGCCGCGUUGAUGAUGGAGGCCUUUGUGUAGGAAACCGCUUUUGCGAGUGAAGAGUGCUUUCCUCAUGUGUGGGUAGAUUGACGGUAGCUGGAUAAGAAGCGCCGGCUAACUACGUG
RNAcentral lists this ribosomal RNA (494 nucleotides) under uncultured bacterium. RNAcentral's name for it is "partial 16S ribosomal RNA". It matches the Rfam family "Bacterial small subunit ribosomal RNA", at positions 28 to 507 of the family's 1533-position model. The record is from RNAcentral.